AUGCUAGGGGUGCCUUUUGGGCUGAGAGAUGCAUGCAUCGACCCUUAUUACUUGAACCGGAUAAUGCCGGCGUAAGGAAGCGUUUAAAUCA
RNAcentral lists this non-coding RNA (91 nucleotides) under human gut metagenome. RNAcentral describes it as "TPP riboswitch (THI element)". It matches the Rfam family "TPP riboswitch aptamer (THI element)". Rfam says of the family: Vitamin B(1) in its active form thiamin pyrophosphate (TPP) is an essential coenzyme that is synthesised by coupling of pyrimidine and thiazole moieties in bacteria. The previously detected thiamin-regulatory element, thi box was extended, resulting in a new, highly conserved RNA secondary structure, the THI element, which is widely distributed in eubacteria and also occurs in some archaea. The record is from RNAcentral.